GGGGAAUUUUCCGCAAUGGGCGAAAGCCUGACGGAGCAAUACCGCGUGAGGGAGGAAGGCUCUUGGGUUGUAAACCUCUUUUCUCAGGGAAUAAGAANCUGAAGGUACCUGAGGAAUCAGCAUCGGCUAACUCCGUGCCAGCAGCCGCGGUAAUANCGGAGGAUGCAAGCGUUAUCCGGAAUGAUUGGGCGUAAAGCGUCCGCAGGUGGUUUAUCAAGUCUGCUGUNAAGGAGUUUGGCUCAACCAAAUAAAGGCAGUGGAAACUGACAGACUGGAGUGCGGUAAGGGCAGAGGGAAUUCCUGGUGUAGCGGUGAAAUGCGUAGAGAUCAGGAAGAACACCGGUGGCGAAAGCGCUCUGCUGGGCCGUAACUGACACUGAGGGACGAAAGCUAGGGGAGCGAAUGGGAUUAGAUACCCCAGUAGUC
RNAcentral lists this ribosomal RNA (426 nucleotides) under uncultured cyanobacterium. RNAcentral's name for it is "bacterial SSU rRNA". It matches the Rfam family "Bacterial small subunit ribosomal RNA", at positions 356 to 795 of the family's 1533-position model. The record is from RNAcentral. Lineage: Bacteria; Bacillati; Cyanobacteriota.